UCGUACAAGAAGGUAAUCGCCAAGGCGA
Molecule: small RNA, 28 nt
Filed under: Bombyx mori (domestic silkworm)
Lineage: Eukaryota; Metazoa; Arthropoda; Insecta; Lepidoptera; Bombycidae
Description: ovarian small RNA-29101
Source: RNAcentral